Long non-coding RNA from Octopus sinensis (East Asian common octopus), 268 nucleotides. RefSeq lists it as uncharacterized. The transcript is spliced from 2 exons. The record is from RefSeq and is a predicted model, not a curated record. Lineage: Eukaryota; Metazoa; Mollusca; Cephalopoda; Octopoda; Octopodidae.
AGAGGCAAGAAGGAUGGCAUAUACAAGAUGGCGGCAGUGGAUAUUCAGUGGUGAAUUAUAUUCGAUAGUAUGACGUGGCGGCAUUUAGGGAAAAAAUUUCAGAGCUAUUACCAACUUCUCCCGCUUCAAAACUACUUCCGGCCUGAAUAUGCAGUUGGUUCCGUUUAUCACGUGUCUGUAUAUAACAACUUAAACCAUAUCACAACCAACUGACAAUCAACUAACACCACCUCCACAACCAACAACAACAACUACAAUAACAACAACA